AGAGUUUGAUCAUGGCUCAGAUUGAACGCUGGCGGUAUGCUUAACACAUGCAAGUCGAACGCGAAAGCACCUUCGGGUGUAAGUAGAGUGGCGGACGGGUGAGUAAGGCAUGGGAAUCUGCCCUAUAGCGGGGGAUAACUUGGGGAAACCCAAGCUAAUACCGCAUACACCUACGGGUAAAAGAUGGCCUCUUCUUGAAAGCUAUUACUAUAGGAUGAGCCCAUAUAAGAUUAGCUAGUUGGUAGGGUAAAAGCCUACCAAGGCUACGAUCUUUAGCUGGUCUGAGAGGACGAUCAGCCACACUGGGACUGAGACACGGCCCAGACUCCUACGGGAGGCAGCAGUGGGGAAUAUUGGACAAUGGGGGCAACCCUGAUCCAGCAAUACCGCGUGUGUGAAGAAGGCCUGCGGGUUGUAAAGCACUUUUAUCUGUGAGGAAGGGUUUAAUGUUAAUACCAUUAGACAU
Molecule: ribosomal RNA, 466 nt
Filed under: uncultured bacterium
Lineage: Bacteria
Description: bacterial SSU rRNA
Rfam family: Bacterial small subunit ribosomal RNA
Source: RNAcentral